This 993-nucleotide ribosomal RNA is filed under the name uncultured bacterium. RNAcentral's name for it is "bacterial SSU rRNA". It matches the Rfam family "Bacterial small subunit ribosomal RNA", at positions 8 to 1008 of the family's 1533-position model. The record is from RNAcentral.
AGAGUUUGAUCAUGGCUCAGAAUCAACGCUGGCGGCGUGCCUAACACAUGCAAGUCGAGCGAGAAAGGGGCUUCGGCUCUGAGUACAGCGGCGCACGGGUGAGUAACACGUGGGUAAUCUGCCCUCGAGUGGGGAAUAACACCGGGAAACCGGUGCUAAUACCGCAUACGAUCGCGAUGUCUUCGGAUGUUGUGAUGAAAGGAGCAAUUCGCUCUUGGAGGAGCCCGCGGCUGAUUAGCUAGUUGGUGAGGUAAUGGCUCACCAAGGCUACGAUCAGUAUCCGGUCUGAGAGGACGGUCGGACACACUGGAACUGAGACACGGUCCAGACUCCUACGGGAGGCAGCAGUGGGGAAUUUUUCGCAAUGGGGGCAACCCUGACGAAGCAACGCCGCGUGGAUGAUGAAGUAUCUCGGUACGUAAAGUCCUUUCGACGGGGAAGAAACCGCAAGGUUGACGGUACCCGUAGAAGAAGCCCCGGCUAACUCCGUGCCAGCAGCCGCGGUAAUACGGGGGGGGCAAGCGUUGUUCGGAAUUACUGGGCGUAAAGGGCGCGUAGGCGGUCCGCUAAGUUGAAUGUGAAAACUCUGGGCUUAACCCAGAGCCUGCAUUCAAUACUGGCAGGCUAGAGUUCUGGAGGGGAUAGCGGAAUUCCUGGUGUAGCGGUGAAAUGCGUAGAUAUCAGGAGGAACACCGGUGGCGAAGGCGGCUAUCUGGACAGAGUCUGACGCUGAGGCGCGAAAGCUAGGGGAGCAAACAGGAUUAGAUACCCUGGUAGUCCUAGCCCUAAACGAUGGAUACUUGCUGUGUCUGGGAUUGAAUCCAGUCGUGGCGAAGCUAACGCAUUAAGUAUCCCGCCUGGGGAGUACGGUCGCAAGGCUGAAGCUCAAAGGAAUUGACGGGGGCCCGCACAAGCGGUGGAGUAUGUGGUUUAAUUCGACGCACGCGAAGAACCUUACCUGGGCUCGAACGGCUGGUGACAGGGGUGGAAACA